This 449-nucleotide long non-coding RNA is filed under the name Homo sapiens (human). RNAcentral's name for it is "non-protein coding lnc-CHGA-1:7". The record is from RNAcentral. Lineage: Eukaryota; Metazoa; Chordata; Mammalia; Primates; Hominidae.
UGUGCCUGGCUGGAUCAGGGUGGGGCUGUAGAGCUGCACAUCAUAGUCUGCAUCCGGGUCAGCCCUGAAUCUCAGGCACUGGAAGGUUACCCUGAUGGGCAGGACCCACUCCCAUCACUAAGAGAACAUCAAAAGGGCAGGUGUGGGGGUGGAUAGGAAGAUCAGGAUCUCUGAAAGGAAAUUUGCAUUGUGGUAACCUACAGACUCCACCUGGACCCAUGAUUCAUGACUCAACCAGUCCACCCAGAAGCUGACUCAGAGCAUAAGGAGCAUUUUCCACACCCCUAGGAUUUCAUCUCCAACCAAUCAGCAUUCCCCAUUCUCUAGCCCCUGUCCACCAAACUAUUCUUUAAAAACCUUAGCUCUAAGCUUUAUUUAUUUAUUUAAGUAAUACACUCCUGUCUUCCACUUAGCUGGUUCUGUAUUUAUUAAACUCUUUCUCUACUGCC